AUUGAACGCUGGCGGCAGGCCUAACACAUGCAAGUCGAACGAGUGGCGGACGGGUGAGUAAUGUAUGGGGAUCUGCCUGAUGGCGGGGGAUAACUACUGGAAACGGUAGCUACUACCGCAUACCAUCAGAUGUACCCAGAUGGGAUUAGCUAGUAGGUGGGGUAACGGCUCACCUAGGCGACGAUCCCUAGCUGGUCUGAGAGGAUGACCAGCAAAACUGGAACUGAGACACGGCCCAGACUCCUACGGGAGGCAGCAGUGGGGAAUAUGGCACAAGGGGCGCAAGCCUGAUGCAGCCAUGCCGCGUGUAUGAAGAAGGCCUUCGGGUUGUAAAGUACUUUCAGCGAGGAGGCGUUACCGACAGAAGAAGCACCGGCUAACUCCGUGCCAGCAGCCGCGGUAAUAC
This 406-nucleotide ribosomal RNA is filed under the name uncultured bacterium. RNAcentral describes it as "partial 16S ribosomal RNA". It matches the Rfam family "Bacterial small subunit ribosomal RNA", at positions 30 to 526 of the family's 1533-position model. The record is from RNAcentral.